Regulatory RNA element from Pseudoalteromonas rubra, 102 nucleotides. It matches the Rfam family "TPP riboswitch aptamer (THI element)". From Rfam's summary of the family: Vitamin B(1) in its active form thiamin pyrophosphate (TPP) is an essential coenzyme that is synthesised by coupling of pyrimidine and thiazole moieties in bacteria. The previously detected thiamin-regulatory element, thi box was extended, resulting in a new, highly conserved RNA secondary structure, the THI element, which is widely distributed in eubacteria and also occurs in some archaea. The record is from Rfam. Lineage: Bacteria; Pseudomonadati; Pseudomonadota; Gammaproteobacteria; Alteromonadales; Pseudoalteromonadaceae.
CGUUACUUGUCGGAGUGCCCAUCUGGGCUGAGAUCGCAGUAUUGCGGGAUCCGUGGACCUGAUCAGGUUAAUGCCUGCGUAGGGAACAAGCUACCUAAGUUG